GAUGCUCCCUGAUCAGCACACGAGUAUAAAGAAAUUGUGCGUCGUAUAGUUCUGAGCGGAUAGGAAAUUUGCUGGAUUGUUGCAUAUGUGCAUAAAACCGCGUGACCGGGGACCUUUUUUCAGCGAACCACUGCAACGGUCUUGGCCCAGGCACACAUGGUGCCAGUCUGUUUUAGGUUCCAAUUCCUCGCCCCCGCCGGAGUGCAGCAGAUAGACGGCACCGACAGAGCAUAAAAAAUACAGUGAGACUAUGAGCUAAAUUUAUUAAGGCAACUCAUUUCCAAACAACUAUUUCAUCUGCGGCAUGAGGCAAAAAUGCACAGACACAGACACAGACUCAUGGCAAUCGGAAAGAGUG
This is a long non-coding RNA of Drosophila montana, 358 nucleotides long. RefSeq lists it as uncharacterized. Lineage: Eukaryota; Metazoa; Arthropoda; Insecta; Diptera; Drosophilidae. The record is from RefSeq and is a predicted model, not a curated record. The transcript is spliced from 3 exons.